CAAAAAAUAUCUUUUUUGCUGGUAUGUCACGUUUGCCCAGGUCAUAUUGAAUGUUUUUCUUGGCUGUCUCAAUUUUCCCACACAAUAUAAUGAUAUUUCUCAUCUCUUUUUGCGACAGGGGCGAAAAUAGUUGGACUGCACUUCAAGAGCAACCGAACCCGUCUACCUGCAAAACGUACCUACACAAGAAUUCUGCAGCAUUAAAGUUUAUAUGGCAGAGCAAUGGAGAAGAAGAGUGAGUCACCUGGUUCCUCUCCACAUACUGGAUACUGUUGAUUUAGGUUCAUUUGCGAACCCAUCAAUCAUUUUACUUCUCGACAUACUGUUGCCAAUCUAAAUUACUUUCUUUUCAUACUUGUUCCAAUUGCUGGUUACCUGAUAUCCUCUCUCGUCUACCUUAAUCCGAUUAAGUGCGAUGUAUUUGCAACAUGCACGUGUGCAUUGUAACCAGCCUCAUUCCGAGCCUUUCCGCUUAUUUAUUUAUUAAAUUUUUAAUGUAUAUUCGUUAUUUAAUUAAUAUCUAAGCAUGGAUCGUAUGGUUACUAACUUAUUUCUUACUUCAUCCCUGAUAAUGACGGAUAAUAGAUGCAAAAAUGAAUGGUUUGGUGGUGGCCAACGAAACAAUCGACACUGCUACGGCUCUACUAAAACAAGUCACGUUCAACGGUUCAUCGGCUAAUAUUAACUCAAAAAAAAAAAAGAAUAAAAUAAGUAUAGUUCGGGGUCCGAGAUUUCUUUGAUAGUCCCUUGGACAUUCUAUUUUAGCAUUUCAACUAACAACUGAAAGGGCCGGAAAAUCUUUGAAAUUUUUAAAUCUGUUUAACUCAUCCCAAAGUAAUUGAGUGUCGGAAAAGAAAUGGCCCGAACGGUUUUAUGAACCGGUCCCUACUAAAGAAUAACAAAAUUCAAAUAUUGGAAAGGCAGGUUUUGGUUUUGAACGCAGUUGUUGGAUUGAAAAUAUAUUCCAUUGUACUUUGUACUUGAUAAUCAAAGUAAUCUUGUUGUUGAUCAUUAAAGGCGUAUCAACAGUGUUGGGGAAAAAGUUUACCUUGAAUCUUAUCUAGCAGCGGAAACUAAAUAAUUAUAUUUAUUAAAUUGUUA
RNAcentral lists this unclassified non-coding RNA (1101 nucleotides) under Schizosaccharomyces pombe (fission yeast). Its description in RNAcentral is "non-coding RNA, poly(A)-bearing (predicted)". Lineage: Eukaryota; Fungi; Ascomycota; Schizosaccharomycetes; Schizosaccharomycetales; Schizosaccharomycetaceae. The record is from RNAcentral.